This 304-nucleotide ribosomal RNA is filed under the name uncultured bacterium. RNAcentral's name for it is "partial 16S ribosomal RNA". It matches the Rfam family "Bacterial small subunit ribosomal RNA", at positions 509 to 809 of the family's 1533-position model. The record is from RNAcentral.
CAGCAGCCGCCACGGGAAUACAGAGGGUGCGAGCGUUAAUCGGAUUUACUGGGCGUAAAGCGUGCGUAGGCGGCUUCUUAAGUCGGAUGUGAAAUCCCUGAGCUUAACUUAGGAAUUGCAUUCGAUACUGGGAAGCUAGAGUAUGGGAGAGGAUGGUAGAAUUCCAGGUGUAGCGGUGAAAUGCGUAGAGAUCUGGAGGAAUACCGAUGGCGAAGGCAGCCAUCUGGCCUAAUACUGACGCUGAGGUACGAAAGCAUGGGGAGCAAACAGGAUUAGAUACCCCUGUAGUCCCUGUCUCUUAUAU